Molecule: ribosomal RNA, 510 nt
Filed under: uncultured bacterium
Lineage: Bacteria
Description: partial 16S ribosomal RNA
Rfam family: Bacterial small subunit ribosomal RNA
Source: RNAcentral
GACGAACGCUGGCGGCGUGCUUAACACAUGCAAGUCGAACGAAGAGCGACGGAAGCUUGCUUCUAUCAAUCUUAGUGGCGAACGGGUGAGUAACGCGUAAUCAACCUGCCCUUCAGAGGGGGACAACAGUUGGAAACGACUGCUAAUACCGCAUACGAUCUAACCUCGGCAUCGAGGAUAGAUGAAAGGUGGCCUCUACAUGUAAGCUAUCACUGAAGGAGGGGAUUGCGUCUGAUUAGCUAGUUGGAGGGGUAACGGCCCACCAAGGCGAUGAUCAGUAGCCGGUCUGAGAGGAUGAACGGCCACAUUGGGACUGAGACACGGCCCAGACUCCUACGGGAGGCAGCAGUGGGGAAUCUUCCGCAAUGGACGAAAGUCUGACGGAGCAACGCCGCGUGAGUGAUGACGGCCGUCGGGUUGUAAAGCUCUGUUAAUCGGGACGAAAGGCCUUCUUGCGAAUAGUGAGAAGGAUUGACGGUACCGGAAGAGAAAGCCACGGCUAACUACGUG